This 505-nucleotide ribosomal RNA is filed under the name uncultured bacterium. Its description in RNAcentral is "partial 16S ribosomal RNA". It matches the Rfam family "Bacterial small subunit ribosomal RNA", at positions 28 to 507 of the family's 1533-position model. The record is from RNAcentral.
GACGAACGCUGGCGGCGUGCCUAAUACAUGCAAGUAGAACGCACAGUUUAUACCGUAGCUUGCUACACCAUAAACUGUGAGUUGCGAACGGGUGAGUAACGCGUAGGUAACCUGCCUGGUAGCGGGGGAUAACUAUUGGAAACGAUAGCUAAUACCGCAUAAUAUUGAUUAUUGCAUGAUAAUUGAUUGAAAGAUGCUAUUGCAUCACUACCAGAUGGACCUGCGUUGUAUUAGCUAGUAGGUGAGGCAACGGCUCACCUAGGCGACGAUACAUAGCCGACCUGAGAGGGUGAUCGGCCACACUGGGACUGAGACACGGCCCAGACUCCUACGGGAGGCAGCAGUAGGGAAUCUUCGGCAAUGGACGAAAGUCUGACCGAGCAACGCCGCGUGAGUGAAGAAGGUUUUCGGAUCGUAAAGCUCUGUUGUAAGAGAAGAACGGGUGUGAGAGUGGAAAGUUCACACUGUGACGGUAUCUUACCAGAAAGGGACGGCUAACUACGUG